Pan troglodytes (chimpanzee) is the source of this 190-nucleotide long non-coding RNA. RefSeq lists it as uncharacterized. Lineage: Eukaryota; Metazoa; Chordata; Mammalia; Primates; Hominidae. The transcript has 2 exons. The record is from RefSeq and is a predicted model, not a curated record.
AACUUGCUAUUGGUUAAUGGCAGUAAAGCCCUCCCAUCAGCGCUGGUCUGCUCCUUUAAAAGAACGCCAUCGACGCUCCCCUGUCUUUCAGCGCCUGCAGGUUCCGGGAGCUCCCAGCCGAGGACGUCGGAUGUCAUCGUCCUUGCUGCUUUGCCACCCCAUUCCCGUCAAUAAAGUGGUUUGAACCCAA